GAUGAACGCUGGCGGCGUGCCUAAUACAUGCAAGUAGAACGCUGAAGCUUGGUGCUUGCACCGAGCGGAUGAGUUGCGAACGGGUGAGUAACGCGUAGGUAACCUGCCUGGUAGCGGGGGAUAACUAUUGGAAACGAUAGCUAAUACCGCAUGACAACAGUUAUUGCAUGAUAACUGUUUAAAAGGGGCAACUGCUCCACUACCAGAUGGACCUGCGUUGUAUUAGCUAGUUGGUGAGGUAACGGCUCACCAAGGCGACGAUACAUAGCCGACCUGAGAGGGUGAUCGGCCACACUGGGACUGAGACACGGCCCAGACUCCUACGGGAGGCAGCAGUAGGGAAUCUUCGGCAAUGGACGGAAGUCUGACCGAGCAACGCCGCGUGAGUGAAGAAGGUUUUCGGAUCGUAAAGCUCUGUUGUAAGAGAAGAACGAGUGUGAGAGUGGAAAGUUCACACUGUGACGGUAUCUACCAG
RNAcentral lists this ribosomal RNA (475 nucleotides) under Streptococcus sp. oral taxon 074. Its description in RNAcentral is "bacterial SSU rRNA". It matches the Rfam family "Bacterial small subunit ribosomal RNA", at positions 28 to 486 of the family's 1533-position model. Lineage: Bacteria; Bacillati; Bacillota; Bacilli; Lactobacillales; Streptococcaceae. The record is from RNAcentral.